AACGCGAAGAACCUUACCUACUCUUGACAUCCAGAGAACUUUCCAGAGAUGGAUUGGUGCCUUCGGGAACUCUGAGACAGGUGCUGCAUGGCUGUCGUCAGCUCGUGUUGUGAAAUGUUGGGUUAAGUCCCGCAACGAGCGCAACCCUUAUCCUUGUUUGCCAGCGAGUAAUGUCGGGAACUCCAGGGAGACUGCCGGUGAUAAACCGGAGGAAGGUGGGGACGACGUCAAGUCAUCAUGGCCCUUACGAGUAGGGCUACACACGUGCUACAAUGGCGCAUACAGAGGGCGGCCAACUUGCGAGAGUGAGCGAAUCCCAAAAAGUGCGUCGUAGUCCGGAUCGGAGUCUGCAACUCGACUCCGUGAAGUCGGAAUCGCUAGUAAUCGUGGAUCAGAAUGCCACGGUGAAUACGUUCCCGGGCCUUGUACACACCGCCCGUCACACCAUGGGAGUGGGCUGCAAAAGAAGUAGGUAGUUUAACCUUCGGG
This 489-nucleotide ribosomal RNA is filed under the name Vibrio rotiferianus. Its description in RNAcentral is "bacterial SSU rRNA". It matches the Rfam family "Bacterial small subunit ribosomal RNA", at positions 958 to 1446 of the family's 1533-position model. Lineage: Bacteria; Pseudomonadati; Pseudomonadota; Gammaproteobacteria; Vibrionales; Vibrionaceae. The record is from RNAcentral.